This 327-nucleotide ribosomal RNA is filed under the name uncultured eukaryote. RNAcentral describes it as "partial 18S ribosomal RNA". It matches the Rfam family "Eukaryotic small subunit ribosomal RNA", at positions 1470 to 1796 of the family's 1831-position model. The record is from RNAcentral.
CCCUUAGAUGUUCUGGGCUGCACGCGCGCUACACUGAUGCGCUCAACGAGUUUUAACCUUGCCUGGAAAGGUUGGGUAAUCUUUUUAAAACGCAUCGUGAUAGGGAUAGAUUAUUGAAAUUAUUAAUCUUGAACGAGGAAUUCCUAGUAAACGCAGAUCAUCAAUCUGCAUUGAUUACGUCCCUGCCCUUUGUACACACCGCCCGUCGCACCUACCGAUUGGAUGGUCCGGUGAAGCCUCGGGAUUGCGGUUCUUGCCGCUUUAUUGUGGCGUGACCGCGAGAACUUGUCUAAACCUUAUCAUCUAGAGGAAGGUGAAGUCGUAACA